RNAcentral lists this ribosomal RNA (427 nucleotides) under uncultured bacterium. Its description in RNAcentral is "partial 16S ribosomal RNA". It matches the Rfam family "Bacterial small subunit ribosomal RNA", at positions 355 to 774 of the family's 1533-position model. The record is from RNAcentral.
UGGGGAAUAUUGGAUAAUGGGCGAAAGCCUGAUCCAGCCAUGCCGCGUGUGUGAAGAAGGUCUUCGGAUUGUAAAGCACUUUAAGUUGGGAGGAAGGGCAUUAACCUAAUACGUUAGUGUUUUGACGUUACCGACAGAAUAAGCACCGGCUAACUCUGUGCCAGCAGCCGCGGUAAUACAGAGGGUGCAAGCGUUAAUCGGAAUUACUGGGCGUAAAGCGCGCGUAGGUGGUUUGUUAAGUUGGAUGUGAAAUCCCCGGGCUCAACCUGGGAACUGCAUUCAAAACUGACUGACUAGAGUAUGGUAGAGGGUGGUGGAAUUUCCUGUGUAGCGGUGAAAUGCGUAGAUAUAGGAAGGAACACCAGUGGCGAAGGCGACCACCUGGACUAAUACUGACACUGAGGUGCGAAAGCGUGGGGAGCAAACA